ACCAUGCAGUGAGCGAGCGAGCAGCGAUCUCUCUCUUUACCCUGCUAGUGUCCUUGCCCGCUCAACCCAGCCUGACAGCCUCAGCGCCUCACAUGGCCCUCUGGCUCAUACAUAUGUAGGAGGAUAGGGAGAGGAGAGGAAUAACAACCACAGAAAGUGUGUGUGUGUACCAUAUAUUUUUCUUCCUGAAUAUGUGACAGGCAGCCCACAUGCGUACACACAACAAUGUGCACACACGUCGUGUGGCUCGAAACACCAAUAUAUCCUCCUUACUUCCUUAAGCUCUUCCCUCAGUUCUUCUUCCUGAUAAUAGGUGUGCCUGUCUUACCAAGGGACCCCACAUCAGGAAGAACAACCCAGAGCCUUGGAACACAUACGUUCCAGACGAUCAGUACAAGUUGGUGGCCGUCAAUAUGGACUACAAGGCUCUGAAGAAGGAGGGCCCUGACUUCUAAAGGUCCUUCAGGCAACUCCAGGAGCACCAAGUUUGGCAGGACCUCCUGUCAUCCUAGUGGCAGGGUCGGGGCAGCCUGAGCCUCGGUCGGGUCCUCUGUCUGUCCCCUCUGCUGUCUCUUCAGAAUGCACAACAUUUCAUUAUGACUGUCUUUUCGUGCACUAACCUACAGUUAUAGAAGCAAUUGUCUCCAUGUGCACCAAAAAAUACUGUUAUUAUAACCUACCUGUCUCUUCAGACACCACACUACAGUGCAAAUCUCUUCAUGUAUAAAAACCCUAUAGAGAUGUAAUGUAACAGGCUCACUUUCACAAACCCUACAGUUAUUAGAACCUGUCUCUUCACAACCCACAACAGCACACUCAUAUAUCAGUCUCUUUUUUAUUUUCAGCAACAACAACCCUUACAGUGAUGUAUCCUUCUUCAUGCCUCAACCCUGAUGUUACAUAACUGUCUC
Long non-coding RNA from Salvelinus fontinalis (brook trout), 911 nucleotides. RefSeq lists it as uncharacterized. The transcript has 3 exons. The record is from RefSeq and is a predicted model, not a curated record. NCBI's taxonomy places the organism in Eukaryota, Metazoa, Chordata, Actinopteri, Salmoniformes, Salmonidae.